RNAcentral lists this transfer RNA (72 nucleotides) under Camelus ferus (Wild Bactrian camel). It matches the Rfam family "tRNA". Rfam says of the family: Transfer RNA (tRNA) molecules are approximately 80 nucleotides in length. Their secondary structure includes four short double-helical elements and three loops (D, anti-codon, and T loops). The record is from Rfam by way of RNAcentral. Lineage: Eukaryota; Metazoa; Chordata; Mammalia; Artiodactyla; Camelidae.
GAGUGUAUAGCUCAGUGGUAGAGCAUGUGCUUAGCAUGCAUGAGGUUCUGGGUUCAGUCCCCAGAACCUCCA